Molecule: ribosomal RNA, 490 nt
Filed under: uncultured bacterium
Lineage: Bacteria
Description: bacterial SSU rRNA
Rfam family: Bacterial small subunit ribosomal RNA
Source: RNAcentral
UCAGGAUGAACGCUGGCGGCGUGCUUAACACAUGCAAGUCGAACGGAGUUUUAACGGAAGUUUCGGAUGGAAGUUAGAACUAGUGGCGGACGGGUGAGUAACGCGUGGGGUAACCUGCCUCAGUACAGGGGGAUAACAGUUAGAAAUGACUGCUAACACCGCAUAAUAUAGCGAAACCGCAUGAUUUUGCUAUCAAAUAUUUAUAGGUAUGAGAUGGGCCCGCGUCUGAUUAGCUAGUUGGUGGGGUAAAAGCCUACCAAGGCGACGAUCAGUAGCCGGCUUGAGAGAGUGACCGGCCACAUUGGGACUGAGACACGGCCCAAACUCCUACGGGAGGCAGCAGUGGGGAAUAUUGGACAAUGGGGGAAACCCUGAUCCAGCCGACGCCGCGUGAGUGAAGAAGUAUUUCGGUAUGUAAAGCUCUAUCAGCAGGGAAGAUAAUGACAGUACCUGACUAAGAAGCCCCGGCUAACUACGUGCCAGCCGCCGC